UACAGAGGUCCCAAGCGUUGUUCGGAUUCACUGGGCGUAAAGGGUGCGUAGGUGGUGGGGUAAGUCGGAUGUGAAAUCUCCGAGCUCAACUCGGAAAUUGCAUUGGAAACUACCCUGCUUGAGGGUCGGAGGGGGGACUGGAAUUCUCGGUGUAGCAGUGAAAUGCGUAGAUAUCGAGAGGAACACCAGUGGCGAAGGCGAGUCCCUGGACGACUCCUGACACUGAGGCACGAAAGCUAGGGGAGCAAACAGU
RNAcentral lists this ribosomal RNA (253 nucleotides) under uncultured bacterium. RNAcentral describes it as "partial 16S ribosomal RNA". It matches the Rfam family "Bacterial small subunit ribosomal RNA", at positions 524 to 776 of the family's 1533-position model. The record is from RNAcentral.